Molecule: long non-coding RNA, 3956 nt
Organism: Rana temporaria (common frog)
Lineage: Eukaryota; Metazoa; Chordata; Amphibia; Anura; Ranidae
Exons: 2
Source: RefSeq, a predicted model, not a curated record
GUGGGGGGUCCGUAAGUGGUUAAUGCCCAUAGCCUGGCCAUAGUUCUGCUGGGAAUGGGGAGCUGAGCUACAGAGGAAAAGUAAAAACAUAGAAUUUAGAAGGUUUGUGAUAAAGCUUUAGGAUAAAUUAUUCCACAGUGCCUGCAGCUACAGAGAUAAUUGGGGGCGUAUUUCAUAACUCACAAUUAAGAAUUUGUAAGUAUUUGAAUGCCCAUAGUUCUACUUUAAAGUCCAACUCCGUUUUUUCAGUAAACUAGAGAUUAAUGAUUCUAACUUAAAAUUUAGAACUGUUUCCUUUUCAUAAAAAUGGGACACAGGCAAAGUACAGAAAACACCCACAUCCAUUUGAAUCACAUUACACGGUGAAGUCUUGAAUACAUGCCAUUGAAAUGUGGGUAAAUACAUAAAAUAACUUUAACUCUUUGUCCAAACUGGGUAAUGCUCAUUGUGAUUUGAUUAUAAUCUACCUAUAAAGAUAAUAAAUGGCUCUACUAGUGCUGUAAUAGGACCAUAUUCUGCCAUAGAUUUACUAGAAGUUUAGAGAAUAGUUACUAUGACCUGUGAAAUAUUUUGCAAGGUAUUCCAAUAACUUUAGUGAAAAACAGUCAAGUUCUUUUGGUAGAUAGUAUUGGAUACAUUGUAUCACCUGAUGAUUUUCUUAUACUACCAGAGUACAGUUUGGAAGCAUUUAAAGGGAUUGUCCACUUUUUCAUAUAAAGUGUAUCUGUCAGCUAUACAAAACAGAGGUCUUCACAUUGGAAGCAGUGGCUGUACAGGGGUAUAAAGAGCAACAAGCAUUCUACUCCUGUGCUUUGUCACUUGUUGUAUAUGGAUAGAAAUGAUAAAAACCCAGCUGCCCAAGGUCACAAGCAUGGUCAGCUUUACUCGUCAUGUUUUUUCGAUUUGUACAAAGCUCUGCACUCCUAUCAGUGUCUGGACUCAGACUGUGCUAGCUUAACUACCAGCAAUGAUUCCCAGUCUACACACUGAUAUUAGUCAGAGAAAUUAAAUAAGUCACACAAAACCCAUCCAAUAGGUGAAGUGCAAUUAUCCCAAACCAUAGAACAUGUAGCCUGUUCAUUUUGUAUCUGGCUUUUUUUUUGGUCACUUCAGCUAAAUUCAGUAAAAUUCUGUAUAAAAAGCCAUUAUUUGGUCUCAGCUCCUGUAUGCUCCCAGCUGAACCUGACACUUUUUGCUUAGUAGUUAUUUUGGGUUAUUUUGUUUUCUGCUGAGCAAUAUGUUGUUACUCUGCUCCUAUCUAUGAUAUUAAGAAAUAAUGGCGGUUAAACACAUAGUGAUACAUUUUUUUUUCAUAUGAGAACGUCUACUGUAUUUUUUCUAAUUAUAAACAAUGUAGUCACAUAUUCUAUUUAUAUAUUGUGUGGUCCCAUUUACUAACAUUUCUGUAGGUGGAACAUAAUGCAUUAUGACAAUAAGAUAUGUAAUAAGGAGAAGAGAUAAGUGCAAUAUUCCCUAGGAAACUUUCAUCCACAGUUAUCUUUUAUCUCUUAAAGACUUUAGUGACGAGAUUUCUCUGUAAUUGCUACACACCCUUUAGAAAGGCCAUAAAAUGGCGUAUUAACUCACUUACCCACCUCUUAGAUGUCUUUGAGACUAACGUACCGUAAUAAUAUCAUCUUGCUUGUUUCCCUAGUUUCGCCCACCUGUUAAGGGGAGCACAAGAAAUGUGUUCUUCAUGUUAACAUUUAGUAUUGUUAUUAAUAUUUCUUUUGGUAAUAUAUAUUUUGCAGAACCUUCCAACCGGAGUCACCAGCUAGUAAUAUAAAACAGCAGAUGCUUCCUAUCAAACAAUGAAGUAGCUUUGGGUUGACUCACUUUAGGGAGAAUUGAGCAAAAGAAAACAAAAUGAUAGUAAAGCAGAGUGUAAAAAUAUUAAUACACACAUUCAUCCAUUGAAUUGAAUAAAUCAUUUAUUUUGUAUAUUAGUAUAAUUAUGUAAUCCUAAAGAAGCUCAUAGGAUGUGUUUUGUAUUUAUUUCAUGUCUAAGAGCAUGUUACUGUUAUUACCUUUGUGUUUCUUGCAUUAUGUUUAAUUACAAUGUAUAGUUCACAGUUUUUGUGAUGUCAGACUCAUGUAAUAGAUAAGAAGUUAUUGCUUAGAAAGAAUCCCAGGGUUAUAAUAUUGGUAGACUGUUUUUUUUAUAGAUAGGUGCAGUCUGGAUGCCCUGGUUUAAUGAACGAAAGUUGAUUAGCUAGGCUUACAGGGUGGAGAGAGUUAAUAGAGAGGAAUCACAUUGCGUUACCAUUGUCAUGGAAGGGCAUCAAACUUGUUUUACCAUUGUCAUAAUGGGGUAUCGCUCUUGUAUUACCAUUGUCAUGGAGAGGUAUCACCCUUGUGUUACCAGUCUCAUGGAGGGGCAUCACGCUUGUGUUAUUAUUGUCAUGGAGGGGCAUCACACUUGUGUUACAUUGUCAUGGAGAGGUAUCACCCUUGUGUUACCAUAAUCAUGGAGGGGCAUCACACUUGUGUUACCAUUCUUUUGAAGGGGCAUCACACUUGUGUUACCAUUGUCAUGGAAGGGUAUCACACUUGUGUUACAUUGUCAUGGAGAAGAAUCACCCUUGUGUUACCAUAAUCUUGGGGGGCAUCACACUUGUGUUACCAUUGUCAUGGAGGGGCAUCAAGCUUGUGUUACCAUAAUCACGGAGAGGCAUCACACUUGUUUUACCAUUGUCAUGGAGGGGGAUCAAGCUUGUGUUACCAUAAUCAUGGAGGGGCAUCACACUUGUGUUACCAUUGUCAUGGAGGGGCAUCAAGCUUGUGUUACCAUAAUCAUGGAGAGGCAUCACACUUGUGUUACCAUUGUCAUGGAGAGGUAUCACCCUUGUGUUACCAUAAUCGUGGAGGGGCAUCACACGGGUGUUACCAUUGUCAUUGAGAGGUAUCACCCUUGUGUUACCAUAAUCAUUGAAGGGUAUCACACUUGUGUUACCAUUCUCAGAUAUUUGCCAGCACACCCAGGAUCAGCACAAAGUGGCGUCCAAACAGGUAGUUUUAUUGUGCAACGUUUGGGAGUCACGCAUGAUGCCUUCACAUGCCUGAUGAAGGGGUGCUGCGUGACUCCGAACCGUAGCACCUUUCUUGUGUUGUGAUCAUGCAAUAGAAUGACCCGUUUGGACGCCACUUUGUGCUGAUCCUAGGUGUACUGGCAAAUAUCUACUCGACUUAAACCAGUAUCCAGCUGGUUGUUGCUGCAGCACCCAAAUUUUGAGAGCUUACACCAGGAACGUGUGUGAUGGGAAUAUGAAGUAUUACCAUUGUCAUGGAGGGGCAUCAUGCUUGUGUUACCACUGUCAAGGAGGGGCAUCACACUUGUGUUACUGUUAUCAUGGAGAGGCAUCACCCUGGGCAGAGAUACACUUACAUGAUCAAACAUGUUAUUUUAGCAGUUAGUCAUUUGCUGCGUGUCCUAAUGACCCUUUCUUGCUGACAGUAUCCCAAAUUGGAAGUAUCCUUUAAGACGGACAUGCUCAAUAUAGCAGUACAGAGCACACUAGUACAAAUCAGAUUUCAGUUUUCAGCAGUCAGUUAAUUACUGUGUGGUUGUGGGUUAUUGUACUUUGUACUGUCUUAUUAAAGCCUGAUGGUGGUGGUAGCUAGCCACUUCAACUGGACUUCUUUUUUAGUAAGGUUAUAUUGCUUGCAGUUACCUGCUCUUCAUAAUUCUAAGCAAAGGUUUCUGAUUUCUUAUGUAGUUCUGAAAAAGUCACAAACUUUGCAAAUGUUUUGCACUACUGGUCAGUGUGUACAUGUAAAUUUGCACAUAUUUUGUAUUUGUGCCUCACUGUGUUUUUUUUUGCCCUUCUACAUUGUAUGUAUCUUAUGUUUAGAAUUAUAUUUUGGAACGAUUGUUGUGCGCUGUGCCUGAGAAGUUUACAAGGAUCUGUGUGAAAUGUCAGGCGAUAUCCUGUUUAAUAAAGUGUUUUACAACGUAA